This 468-nucleotide ribosomal RNA is filed under the name uncultured bacterium. Its description in RNAcentral is "partial 16S ribosomal RNA". It matches the Rfam family "Bacterial small subunit ribosomal RNA", at positions 28 to 507 of the family's 1533-position model. The record is from RNAcentral.
GACGAACGCUGGCGGCGUGCUUAACACAUGCAAGUCGAACGGAAAGGCCCUGCUUUUGUGGGGUGCUCGAGUGGCGAACGGGUGUGUAACACGUGAGUAACCUGCCCUUGACUUUGGGAUAACUUCAGGAAACUGGGGCUAAUACCGGAUAGGAGCUCCUGCUGCAUGGUGGGGGUUGGAAAGUUUCGGCGGUUGGGGAUGGACUCGCGGCUUAUCAGCUUGUUGGUGGGGUAGUGGCUUACCAAGGCUUUGACGGGUAGCCGGCCUGAGAGGGUGACCGGCCACAUUGGGACUGAGAUACGGCCCAGACUCCUACGGGAGGCAGCAGUGGGGAAUAUUGCACAAUGGGAGGAAGCCUGAUGCAGAAACGCCGCGUGCGGGAUGACGGCCUUCGGGUUGUAAACCGCUUUCGCCUGUGACGAAGAGUGAGUGACGGUAAUGGGUAAAGAAGCACCGGCUAACUACGUG